This 624-nucleotide ribosomal RNA is filed under the name Haemophilus influenzae. RNAcentral's name for it is "bacterial LSU rRNA". It matches the Rfam family "Bacterial large subunit ribosomal RNA", at positions 591 to 1216 of the family's 2925-position model. Lineage: Bacteria; Pseudomonadati; Pseudomonadota; Gammaproteobacteria; Pasteurellales; Pasteurellaceae. The record is from RNAcentral.
GGGUGACUGCGUACCUUUUGUAUAAUGGGUCAGCGACUUAUAUUUUGUAGCGAGGUUAACCGAAUAGGGGAGCCGAAGGGAAACCGAGUCUUAACUGGGCGAGUAGUUGCAAGGUAUAGACCCGAAACCCGGUGAUCUAGCCAUGGGCAGGUUGAAGGUUGGGUAACACUAACUGGAGGACCGAACCGACUAAUGUUGAAAAAUUAGCGGAUGACUUGUGGCUGGGGGUGAAAGGCCAAUCAAACCGGGAGAUAGCUGGUUCUCCCCGAAAUCUAUUUAGGUAGAGCCUUGAGGUGACACCUUUGGGGGUAGAGCACUGUUUCGGCUAGGGGGCCAUCCCGGCUUACCAACCCGAUGCAAACUACGAAUACCAAAGAGUGAUACUCAGGAGACACACGGCGGGUGCUAACGUCCGUCGUGGAGAGGGAAACAACCCAGACCGCCAGCUAAGGUCCCCAAGUCUAUAUUAAGUGGGAAACGAAGUGGGAAGGCUUAGACAGCUAGGAUGUUGGCUUAGAAGCAGCCAUCAUUUAAAGAAAGCGUAAUAGCUCACUAGUCGAGUCGGCCUGCGCGGAAGAUGUAACGGGGCUGAAAUAUAGCACCGAAGCUGCGGCAUCAGGCGUA